UACGUAGGGGGCGAGCGUUGUCCGGAUUUAUUGGGCGUAAAGGGCCCGCAGGCGGUUCGCCAAGUUUGGGGUGACAGCUCCUGGCUUAACCAGGAGAGUGCUGCAAAAACUGGUGGACUUGAGAGCGAGAGAGGGACAUGGAACUCCGGGUGGAGCAGUGAAAUGCGUAGAGAUCCGGAAGAACACCGAAGGCGAAGGCAGUGUCCUGGCUCGUUUCUGACGCUCAGGGGCGAAAGCUAGGGGAGCGAACGGG
This 253-nucleotide ribosomal RNA is filed under the name uncultured bacterium. RNAcentral's name for it is "partial 16S ribosomal RNA". It matches the Rfam family "Bacterial small subunit ribosomal RNA", at positions 524 to 776 of the family's 1533-position model. The record is from RNAcentral.